This 506-nucleotide ribosomal RNA is filed under the name uncultured bacterium. Its description in RNAcentral is "partial 16S ribosomal RNA". It matches the Rfam family "Bacterial small subunit ribosomal RNA", at positions 29 to 523 of the family's 1533-position model. The record is from RNAcentral.
AGUGAACGCUGGCGGUAGGCCUAACACAUGCAAGUCGAACGGCAGCACAGGAGAGCUUGCUCUCUGGGUGGCGAGUGGCGGACGGGUGAGGAACACAUCGGAAUCUACUCUGUCGUGGGGGAUAACGUAGGGAAACUUACGCUAAUACCGCAUACGACCUACGGGUGAAAGCAGGGGACCUUCGGGCCUUGCGCGAUUGAAUGAGCCGAUGUCGGAUUAGCUAGUUGGCGGGGUAAAGGCCCACCAAGGCGACGAUCCGUAGCUGGUCUGAGCGGAGGAUCAGCCACACUGGAACUGAGACACGGUCCAGACUCCUACGGGAGGCAGCAGUGGGGAAUAUUGGACAAUGGGCGCAAGCCUGAUCCAGCCAUACCGCGUGGGUGAAGAAGGCCUUCGGGUUGUAAAGCCCUUUUGUUGGGAAAGAAAUCCAGCUGGCUAAUACCCGGUUGGGAUGACGGUACCCAAAGAAUAAGCACCGGCUAACUCCGUGCCAGCCGCCGCCGUAA